AUCUGCCCACCUCGGCCUCCCAGAGCGCUGGGAUUACAGACAUUAGCCACCACACCCUGCCUCGGGAUACAAUUUUUAAACUACAGAAAGUUAGGGGUUCUGUCAGAAUCUACUCUUUAAAAAUGCAGUCCAUGUGUAAAGGAACUGAUACAAUAGCAAUAUCCAAGAUGAAAAAUGGACCAGAAGAGACCAAGACAGGAAAUGGGAAGAUUCAUUUGAAGCAAUGCAUGGAGAAAUGACUAGCUCAGAUAUUUUAAAAGGGCAAUCCUCUGGGGCCUGCGCAGGCCAAGAGCAGACCAUCUCUAGUUCUUUGCAGCACGUACUGUUUAGAGAUUUUCCUUCUGUAAAUGAAAGAUGACUCUAUAAAAAAAUUUUAAAAAGCAGAGUUCUCAAUUUUUAGCGUAGUUUUAGAAAUGUUUAGUUAUAUCUCAACUGAGAAGUCCACAUUUAGAGAACCCUUCAAGACAUAAUUACAGGUAGGUAUCAGGA
Long non-coding RNA from Cebus imitator (Panamanian white-faced capuchin), 489 nucleotides. RefSeq lists it as uncharacterized. The transcript is spliced from 3 exons. The record is from RefSeq and is a predicted model, not a curated record. NCBI's taxonomy places the organism in Eukaryota, Metazoa, Chordata, Mammalia, Primates, Cebidae.